RNAcentral lists this transfer RNA (67 nucleotides) under Marmota monax (woodchuck). RNAcentral describes it as "tRNA.Thr". Lineage: Eukaryota; Metazoa; Chordata; Mammalia; Rodentia; Sciuridae. The record is from RNAcentral.
GGUUAUGGUUCAGUGGUAGAGUGCAAGACUUGUGUAUGUGAGGCACUGGGAUCGAUCCUCAGCACCA